UUGUCUAACGGACUUCAUUGAUCGUAAAGUUCAUACGAUCGGCUACGAUCAACGAUCAAUCGUAACUUUACAUUGGUAUUGUCUAAUUUAGUUCAUUAUAUGAAGACCGGAUGGUGAACGAUGAACUGAAAUCAUUCAUGAAGAUUGCGUAUUGUUUAUGCAAAACGAUAGUGAAACUAUCGUUAAUAAUAUUAUCAAAUUUAUGUCAAACUCCAUAAUAAUGCAUAUAUUUUAACAGAGUUUUAUGUCUUUUGUUUAAAACAUUAAAGAAGCAUUAAAUUUCACGACAAAUAUCUACUAUUGAAGACAAUAGCGUGAGAAAAUGGUACAUGCAACUCAAGUAACAAAACGCAAUUAACGAAUUUAACCAAGGGCUAUUUGGACUAUUUGGUAAUCUCCCUGUUGUCUGUGUAGGCUAGUGUCAAAAUAACGGGGUAUCCUAUUAGUCUGUGGUGAAACAUAGCAUAUUAAUAACCUGUGGAUUAGAAAUUUAAAUUUUAUAAACAAAACAAAGUUUUUAUUUUUCAGGUUUUAAAGAGAAUUUAGAAAUUGAGCAAAGUUUUACUAAAUUAUAGUGAUCUUAGGAGCAAAGUUUACUUCGUUUGUGUUAUUGUGAAUCAAUAAUAUAAAAGUAAACAAAAAAGAAAAACUACCUCUAUCUAAUUUUGUCGAUGUCCAUUUCUUAAGAAGUUUCUCAUUAAAACAACCCUUAACUCAGACUAUAAAUUGAUUAUUAUGAACAGACCAUUAUGAUGAACCACUGAUAUUGACUCAAGAGACAUGAAGAUGAGUGCUUUGACAACAAGACUGACUAGCUGAGCCAGCUUAAGAAUUAUGUGGUGUGUGUGUGUGUCUAAUUCCAGGAGCUCUCUAUGUCAGCCAUCCAUCUAUAUUCUUACUCAUUUUUGUUAAUUAUAAAAUAAAUUUGAUUAUUUA
Bicyclus anynana (squinting bush brown) is the source of this 936-nucleotide long non-coding RNA. RefSeq lists it as uncharacterized. The transcript has 2 exons. The record is from RefSeq and is a predicted model, not a curated record. NCBI's taxonomy places the organism in Eukaryota, Metazoa, Arthropoda, Insecta, Lepidoptera, Nymphalidae.